GUGGGGAAUAUUGGGCAAUGGGCGCAAGCCUGACCCAGCAACGCCGCGUGAGGGAAGAAGGUCUUCGGAUUGUAAACCUCUGUCCUUGGUGAAAAGUAAGAGAUGGUAGCCAAGGAGGAAGCUCCGGCUAACUACGUGCCAGCAGCCGCGGUAAUACGUAGGGAGCGAGCGUUGUCCGGAAUGAUUGGGCGUAAAGGGCGUGUAGGCGGCCGUUUAAGUCUGGAGUGAAAUUCCUGUUUUUAAGGUAGGAACUGCUUUGGAAACUGGACGGCUUGAGUGCAGGAGAGGUUAUCGGAAUUCCCGGUGUAGCGGUGAAAUGCGUAGAGAUCGGGAGGAACACCAGUGGCGAAGGCGGGUAACUGGACUGCAACUGACGCUGAGGCGCGAAAGUGUGGGGAGCAAACAGGAUUAGAAACCCGAGUAGUCC
RNAcentral lists this ribosomal RNA (427 nucleotides) under uncultured bacterium. Its description in RNAcentral is "partial 16S ribosomal RNA". It matches the Rfam family "Bacterial small subunit ribosomal RNA", at positions 354 to 796 of the family's 1533-position model. The record is from RNAcentral.